AGACAGCUGUGGGUGGGGUGGUGUGGGAGGUAAUUAUCAUAGAAUCAUAGAAUAUGCUGAGUUAGAAGGGACCCAUCAGCAUCCUUGAGACCAACUCUUGGCCCUGUGCAGGACGCCCCAAGAAUUAGACCAUAUGUCUGAGAGCAUUGUCCAAAUGCUUCUU
Corapipo altera (White-ruffed manakin) is the source of this 163-nucleotide long non-coding RNA. RefSeq lists it as uncharacterized. The record is from RefSeq and is a predicted model, not a curated record. Lineage: Eukaryota; Metazoa; Chordata; Aves; Passeriformes; Pipridae. The transcript has 4 exons.